This 254-nucleotide ribosomal RNA is filed under the name uncultured bacterium. Its description in RNAcentral is "partial 16S ribosomal RNA". It matches the Rfam family "Bacterial small subunit ribosomal RNA", at positions 524 to 776 of the family's 1533-position model. The record is from RNAcentral.
UACGUAGGGUGCAAGCGUUGUCCGGAAUUAUUGGGCGUAAAGAGCUCGUAGGCGGUGUGUCGCGUCGGCCGUGAAAACCUGCAGCUUAACUGUGGGCUUGCGGUCGAUACGGGCAUCACUGGAGUUCGGCAGGGGAGACUGGAAUUCCUGGUGUAGCGGUGAAAUGCGUAGAUAUCGGGAGGAACACCAGUGGCGAAGGCGGCUUCCUGGACCGGUUCUGACACUGAGGAGCGAAAGCGUGGGGAGCGAUCCGG